Long non-coding RNA from Trichomycterus rosablanca, 693 nucleotides. RefSeq lists it as uncharacterized. The transcript is spliced from 3 exons. Lineage: Eukaryota; Metazoa; Chordata; Actinopteri; Siluriformes; Trichomycteridae. The record is from RefSeq and is a predicted model, not a curated record.
GGAGUUGAGGUUUACAAACUCGACUCGACGUUUGGUACUUAAAAAGUGAUGCGCGUUAGCAAGCUUCUUCUGAGGUGACACGAAUUUGACUGAAAGCCUGGUCAGGGUUGCAGUGGAUCCAGCUUCCUGGAAUCACUGGUCUCAAUGAAGUAACACACCCCGGACAGAACACCAAUCCAUCACAGGACCUUGGGUCAAGGAUGGACACUAGUGGGUGAUGUGGGUCUGAUUUUAGCAGCUGUCUGGAGCCUAUCCCAGCUUUUUUCAAUGGGCGCAAGGCACACAGUAACACCCUGGACACGACGCCAGUCCAUCGCAAGGCAUACACACACACACACACACACAUUCACCUAUAGGGCAAUUCAGUGUCUCCAAUUAACCUGAAUGCAUGUUUUUGGACUGUGGGAGGAAACCGGAGCUCCCGGAGAAAAGACACAGGAAGAACAUGCAAACUCCACACAGAAAGGACCCGGACUGUUCCGCCUGGGGAUCAAACCCAGGACCUUCUUGCUGUCAAACCCAGGACCUUCAAACCCAGGACCACUUGACAGUGCUACCCACCGAGCCACCGUGCCGCCCUCAUACCAUUAUAACUUCAAAUAAACGCUUGCACAGCACCUGUGCGCAAUGCAAAAAUGCCAAUUUAUUGCACCCACAUUUUCGCUUACUCACACCAGGGGCAAUUUAGAGAAG